Molecule: ribosomal RNA, 254 nt
Filed under: uncultured bacterium
Lineage: Bacteria
Description: partial 16S ribosomal RNA
Rfam family: Bacterial small subunit ribosomal RNA
Source: RNAcentral
UACGGAGGGUGCAAGCGUUAAUCGGAUUCAUUGGGCGUAAAGGGUGCGUAGAUGGUUGGAUAAGUUAGCAGUGGGAAAUCGGGGCUCAACCCCGUGGAAGGUGGUAAUACUAUCCAACUCGAGGGCAGGAGAGGUUAACGGAACUCCCUGUGGAGCGGUGAAAUGCAUAGAUAUAGGGAAGAACACCAAAAGGCGAAGGCAGUUAACUAUUCUGUCCCUGACAUUGAGGCACGAAAGCGUGGGGAGCAAAAAGG